Molecule: transfer RNA, 72 nt
Filed under: Candidatus Cloacimonadota bacterium
Lineage: Bacteria; Pseudomonadati; Candidatus Cloacimonadota
Description: tRNA-Arg
Rfam family: tRNA
About the family: Transfer RNA (tRNA) molecules are approximately 80 nucleotides in length. Their secondary structure includes four short double-helical elements and three loops (D, anti-codon, and T loops).
Source: RNAcentral
GGGCUUAUAGUGUAACGGAUAGCAUACCUGACUUCGGAUCAGUUGGUAGGGGUUCGAAUCCUCUUAGGCCUA